This 335-nucleotide ribosomal RNA is filed under the name uncultured bacterium. RNAcentral's name for it is "bacterial SSU rRNA". It matches the Rfam family "Bacterial small subunit ribosomal RNA", at positions 190 to 507 of the family's 1533-position model. The record is from RNAcentral.
ACGUGGAGGUAGGGAAGGGGGGAUCGCAAGACCUCUCGCUAUUGGAGCGGCCGAUAUCAGAUUAGCUAGUUGGUGGGGUAAAGGCCUACCAAGGCUACGAUCUGUAGUUGGUCUGAGAGGACGACCAGCCACACUGGGACUGAGACACGGCUCAGACUCCUACGGGAGGCAGCAGUGGGGAAUUUUGGACAAUGGGCGCAAGCCUGAUCCAGCAAUGCCGCGUGCAGGAAGAAGGCCUUCGGGUUGUAAACUGCUUUUGUCAGGGAAGAAAUCUUCUGGGUUAAUACCUCGGGAGGAUGACGGUACCUGAAGAAUAAGCACCGGCUAACUACGUG